Molecule: ribosomal RNA, 774 nt
Filed under: uncultured Neocallimastigales
Lineage: Eukaryota; Fungi; Neocallimastigomycota; Neocallimastigomycetes; Neocallimastigales
Description: partial large subunit ribosomal RNA
Rfam family: Eukaryotic large subunit ribosomal RNA
Source: RNAcentral
GUACACGCUGUGACUAGCAUAUCAAUAAGCGGAGGAAAAGAAACUAACAAGGAUUCCCCUAGUAACGGCGAGUGAAGCGGGAAGAGCUCAAAUUUGAAAUCUUAAAGGGUUUCCCUUUACGAAUUGUAGUUUAAAGAAGUGUUUUCUGUUGAGGUUUUGGUAAAAGUUCUUUGGAAUAGGACAUCAUAGAGGGUGAGAAUCCCGUAUUUGACCUUUACUUUCAACUUUGUGAUACACUUUCAAAGAGUCGGAUUGUUUGGGAAUGCAGUCCAAAAUGGGUGGUAAAUUUCAUCUAAAGCUAAAUAUUGGCGAGAGACCGAUAGCGAACAAGUACCGUGAGGGAAAGAUGAAAAGAACUUUGAAAAGAGAGUUAAACAGUACGUGAAAUUGUCAAAAGGGAAGCGUUUGACACCAGUGUUGUUUUUCUGAAAAUCAAUUAAAGAACUGUUUAUGCUAAGUUGUUUAGACUUUAUCAGCUAUCUGUUUAGUUUUGAGCUUUUCUUUAAUGCACUUUUCAGUUAACAAGUCAACAUCAAUUUCUUUUGCUGUAAUAAAGCUUGAGGAAGGUGGCUUGAGAUUCGUCUUAAGUGUUUAUAGCCUCUUGCCUAUGCAGUCGGAGAGAUUGAGGUCUGCAGCGUAGAUCCUUCGGGGCUAAAUGCAUUUGUGCUAAGUUAUAGCAUUUUAUAGACAACUUGUUGACUAUGAUUUGUCUUGUAGCUUACUCGCUUAUGUUAUUUUACCUACGCUUAGGAUGUUGAUAUGCAUGACUGAUAU